UGCCAGCCGCCGCGGUAAUACGGAGGGGGCUAGCGUUGUUCGGAAUCACUGGGCAUAAAGCGCACGUAGGCGGCCCACUAAGUCAGGUGUGAAAGCCCUCGGCUCAACCGAGGAACUGCACUUGAAACUGAUGGGCUAGAGAACGGUAGGGGUGAGCGGAACUCCAGGUGGAGCGGUGAAAUGCGUAGAUAUCUGGAGGAACACCGGUGGCGAAGGUGACUUUCUGGCACAACACUGACGCUGAGGUGCGAAAGCGUGGGGAGCAAACAGGAUUAGAUA
RNAcentral lists this ribosomal RNA (279 nucleotides) under uncultured bacterium. RNAcentral's name for it is "partial 16S ribosomal RNA". It matches the Rfam family "Bacterial small subunit ribosomal RNA", at positions 506 to 784 of the family's 1533-position model. The record is from RNAcentral.